Molecule: long non-coding RNA, 437 nt
Filed under: Salvia miltiorrhiza (redroot sage)
Lineage: Eukaryota; Viridiplantae; Streptophyta; Magnoliopsida; Lamiales; Lamiaceae
Description: long non-coding RNA (SMIL_LNC004496)
Source: RNAcentral
UAGAAGGUCGAAACGAAAUGACCUAAUAAUCUGAACCCGUUUGGCUUUUCAGAUGAAAGUUUGAAUAUAUAGGUUUAGAGACCCAUAUACGAUGACUACUGAGAUUUUGGUCAUGUGGACUGGCCAGGUCCAACAUAAUUAUUUCUCAGUCACACGGAAUUACUUUUUCGAACUUGGUAACUCUUUGUUUAUUAGGCUGCAAAAGGUACUUCUGGUCUGAGAUCUCUACUUUUUUUUUUUUUUUUCACAUCUAAAAUUUAUCCUUGAGAAUACGCUGAAGCUUCCCAAGCUUGGGGUUUUCUUCCUAAAAUCAACACUUUUUUUUUUUCUUAAAAUCUUCUUUACACGAAACAAGACCAUUCAAACACAUUCGACCUUAUUCAAUAUUCAUCCUUUGAACGAUCUUAAUAUCGUACUUCUGGUAUCUAGCGUUCAUU